This 548-nucleotide ribosomal RNA is filed under the name uncultured Glomus. RNAcentral's name for it is "SSU rRNA". It matches the Rfam family "Eukaryotic small subunit ribosomal RNA", at positions 548 to 1098 of the family's 1831-position model. Lineage: Eukaryota; Fungi; Glomeromycota; Glomeromycetes; Glomerales; Glomeraceae. The record is from RNAcentral.
UUGGAGGGCAAGUCUGGUGCCGGCAGCCGCGGUAAUUCCAGCUCCAAUAGCGUAUAUUAAAGUUGUUGCAGUUAAAAAGCUCGUAGUUGAAUUUCGGGGUCAGCAGGUUGGUCGUGCCACUGGUAUGAACUGGCCUUGCUGAUUCCUCCUUCUUGAAGAACCGUGAUGCCAUUAAUUUGGUGUUGCGGGGAAACAGGACUGUUACUUUGAAAAAAUUAGAGUGUUUAAAGCAGGCUCACGCUUGAAUACGUUAGCAUGGAAUAAUAAAAUAGGACGUUUAUCCUAUUUUGUUGGUUUCUAGGGUUGACGUAAUGAUUAAUAGGGAUAGUUGGGGGCAUUAGUAUUCAAUUGUCAGAGGUGAAAUUCUUGGAUUUAUUGAAGACUAACUACUGCGAAAGCAUUUGCCAAGGAUGUUUUCAUUAAUCAAGAACGAGAGUUAGGGGAUCGAAGACGAUCAGAUACCGUCGUAGUCUUAACCAUAAACUAUGCCGACUAGGGAUCGGGUGAUGUUAAUUUUUUAAUGACUCAUUCGGCGCCUUACGGGAAAC